GUAAUUUUACGUGGACGUCGAGAGCCCACUUCCGUCCUAAAGAAAAAAAAGGCCAACUACCUCGUCCAUUUCUAAUCUGGGAUGAGUCAUCUAAAAAAACAGGGGCGGAGUGGAUGAGGGGUGCGAUCGUCCGAGCGCCGAGCGGCGGUUGGGCUCCGGCGUCGUGGAACGCGGCGGGCCGAGCCGUCGUGUUGCAACGUCGGUAGUACUUGGGGUCAGGGCUUCUUCAUGAUACGGGGGCAUCUCCCGUGUGGACGGGGACUCGUCGGCUGAGUUGCCGGCGGCGAACACUUGGCCGAAGACGGGCCCACUCCAUGAGCCAGGGGCUGCGGGCGGCGUCCUUGGCUGGAGGGCAAGCUGGUCGUUGUUGGGCGGCGCGGGAGUCGUGUCUGCUGCUUGAAGAGGUACUUUGACGCUCUCCGAUAGAUACCCCAGUCCUAGCAAUUUGCUUCAAGAUCCAGCUUUGUCUGUUUGAUUCAUUUUUACGAGAGUUUUGUUUGAUUCCUUCAUUCAUACAACUUCUACAUAGAUUGCUUUGUUACGCCCGACUACUCGACUAGAAGGAGAUCCUCGCAGGCUCGCAGCAUAUCCCUCAAUUUAUUGCCAGAAUGUUUCCAGGGUAUCCCUAUUUUAGUUGCCUCGUAUCUUGGACUAUUGCUGCAGGAGCGUCAGAAACAUGCAUUAAAUACUUGACCAUGAUCACCACAUGGUACACGUUAUUUGAUCAUGUAGCGAUUUAGUUCAUAUUGUUGAUUGGUGGGGAACAAACAGACUAAUGGUCAAUUUGGUAAUGUUGCAUCUAGGUCUUGUUCUCACCCACUAAUCAAGAAAGCCAUUAAACCUUUCUCCUUCACUCUGUGCUAGUAAUUCCCAAAAAUAACCAAACAAAAGAUUGGACAUAAAAUUAAUUCCCUUGCCCAAUAUCCUACUAACUCCCUCCUCUAUAUCUCCUCUUCUCCUUGAUCAACCCACAAACCAAGAGGACUAAUCCUCUUCUCCUUGAUCUCCUUGAUAGUCCAGCAAUCAGCAAGUUGAAAAGAUUAAAAUCAAGGUUCCAUGAUAAUUCCUUUGAAUCUCGUUGUAAGGUACGCUUUUCGGAUAUUCCAUUUCAAACUUAAGGUGCAUUCCUUUUCCUUCGGUCAAUAUAAAGUACGUAGUUUAAUUUGUCUAACCUUGUGUGCAUAGGGUUUCUUUCACACGAGAGGUAAAGAUGUUCCUUGUAUAAUAUUUAGGUUCUGCAGUAAAAAUAUUGUUUUAAUUGGCAGUUGUUUACCUGUCAGUCACACAAGCCUUUAUAUAUUAGGCCUUAGAUGCUACUAAGUACUAACCGUUAUCCCUUUGUAACAGAAGAGCAGAAUUUCCACUCCCUAGUUGUUGAUCAUAUUUCUCUGUGUCACAUCCUAGUUCCAACAAUGCAUGCUGAUGGUCCACCUUGUUGAUUGCAUGCUGAUAUUGUGAGAUAUUUGAUUAUGCUUGAUAAUAUUAGUAGCAAAGAGUGCCUCAUUAAAAUUCUUAGUUGGAGAGUGAAAUUUGCGUUAGUCGUAUGUACUGAAUUUUACGGCAGUCAUAAGAUGAAAUUGUUCCUGUGAAACUGUGGACUGAAAGUGAGGAUUAUUCUGUAUCUUUACAUUACACGGGAUCAAGCUGAUCCUGGUGCUCAAUAGUAUGAUAGUUUAGCCCCUGCAUAAAUUGUGGGAAAUCCCACGUGCAUGAAAAAUGAAGGACUCAAAGGUUAACAUAAUCCAUUUUAUAAAUCAUCGUGCAUCUUGAUUAUGUAUGAGAUUAUUCUGGGAUACCGCCUCCAUUAAUUAUGUAUUAGAGAGGGAAUUUAUCUCUUGCGAUAAACUGAGGAGGGCAACAGUUAUGUUUGUCCCUGCAAUACUGAGAUGUGUAUUUCUACAUCUGGCGUAUAGCUUAACUAUUUCAGGGCUCUACAGACCAGUUUUUAUCCAGAAGAAAGGCCUUUAGUGUGCGUUUGGAUCUGAAGAAACAAAGCAAGAUAUGGCUGUCAUUCCUCCUAACUUGGCUAGUUACUAAUAUCUCCUUGAUCUUUUGAGAAGGUAGUCUUGGUGAGUGUUUGGGCAAUAGAGAACAUAACUUGGAAUUUCCGUACGUGUUUACUGUAUUCAUUUAUUCUGGAUUAGAAGCUUAAUUUCUGAAUUUUAUAGUUCAGGAGUAGCUACCUCCUGAUGUACUGGUGUAAUUUAAUAGUUUCAUCGAAUGUGAAUCAGAAGCAGACUAAGGUAUACCCUAGUGGUGGGAAGGGGCUGAUGCCUUCCCACCCACCCAGGUUCAAGGCAUGGUACUUGCAAUUUGGGGUUGUUGCACGAAUUAUACUGUAGGGGGUUCCCUUACAGUCUUUCUGUCAAAAAAAAUGUGAAUCAGAAGUAUAUGUUGUUAACAUAGUUGGAUAUACAUAUCAUGUGAUCUUGCUUUUCUAAGGUGUUUGAUGAGUUCAAUGCAAUGAAACAGAUGAGCUGAACAUAUUCAAUGUUUUUAGUGGGAAUCACUUCGUGGCCAUUCUGGUGAUAAUGGUUGUACUCCAGGUAAAAAAAAGAGUGUAAUUCUUCUAUUCCACAUAUGUAGUUGUUUUGGUUAUUGUUAUAUGUUGUUUCCUUUGUAUAUAUGCAAGCUCUUAUCAUCGAGUUUCAUUGGCAAGUUAACUUUAACAAUCAUAUUAAGCUGGCAGCUAUGGUUGGUACUGAUGGGAGUUGCUCAUUUUAGGUGCUGAUGGUCCAAGAAUUGUAAAGAUAAGGCGGGGGAACCUUAUUUGUGUGGUGGAUGCAAGUAUGUUAUGAGGUCAAUUUGUAACUUAUUAUACUGCAGUAACAGACCAAGCCAUGAAUCAGUAGCAAACUUCAGGAUUGGUGAGAAGAAACAUGAACUUAUAAUGUUGUUAGGACCCUAAUCUUGACUUGUCGCUGAUGGACCACAAUGUUCAAGCUCACCAAAUACUGUUGAACAGCUAACAUUAUUGGGUCUCAAAACACCUGCAAAUUAAGUCGCUUGACGAAAGUUCAGACAUGUGUCAAGUCUUGGCAUUCCCAUGUAAUCAGUGGUGUUCAUUUUUGAAAUACUGCUUUGUACUCCCUCCAUAACAAAAUGUAAGAUUUUUUUAUGCCCUAUGCAAACCAAAAAACGUCUUAAUUACAUUUUGGUACGAAGGUUGUGAUUUUAUUUUCCUGUAGCUGGUUACUGAGUGGCAUGCAGCAGAUUGAGAUUAAGGAUGUGAUGAGGAUUUGACAUGAAU
Molecule: ribosomal RNA, 3250 nt
Filed under: Triticum aestivum (bread wheat)
Lineage: Eukaryota; Viridiplantae; Streptophyta; Magnoliopsida; Poales; Poaceae
Description: partial small subunit ribosomal RNA
Source: RNAcentral